CUCCUUAACGGUCACUUUACUGAAGACCACAUUUCAGUAGAACCAUUGUGUGACUCUCUGCAGUUCCUCCUGCAGCUUCCCACCUCCCUAUCUUUGUUUGUGCAGUCCCCUUGCCCAGAAUGCUCUGGCCCAUCAUCAGCAUCCUUAAGACCCAGGGGAUGCCUCUUCCCUCAGGAAGCAUUCCCUGGAUAACCCAGAUUCUUCUGGAAUUCUCCUGUGAAGCCAUCUGAAUCUCCUGAUAUUUUUGGCAUAGGGAUCCACGAGUCCUUCCUGCUGAAGUCAGUUCACCACCACAUACCUGCCCUUGAUUAUUAAGAAGAGUGUGCUUCCCAGACACAAGCUCAAGGUGG
Molecule: non-coding RNA, 350 nt
Organism: Odocoileus virginianus texanus
Lineage: Eukaryota; Metazoa; Chordata; Mammalia; Artiodactyla; Cervidae
Source: RefSeq, a predicted model, not a curated record